Molecule: ribosomal RNA, 253 nt
Filed under: uncultured microorganism
Description: partial 16S ribosomal RNA
Rfam family: Bacterial small subunit ribosomal RNA
Source: RNAcentral
UACGGAGGGUGCGAGCGUUAAUCGGAAUUACUGGGCGUAAAGCGUGCGCAGGCGGCCCGUUAAGACAGGUGUGAAAUCCCUGGGCUCAACCUAGGAAUUGCGCUUGUGACUGGCGGGCUCGAGUACGGUAGAGGGGGGUGGAAUUCCUGGUGUAGCAGUGAAAUGCGUAGAGAUCAGGAGGAACACCGAUGGCGAAGGCAGCGCCCUGGGCCUGUACUGACGCUCAUGCACGAAAGCGUGGGGAGCAAACAGG